Molecule: ribosomal RNA, 253 nt
Filed under: uncultured bacterium
Lineage: Bacteria
Description: partial 16S ribosomal RNA
Rfam family: Bacterial small subunit ribosomal RNA
Source: RNAcentral
UACGUAGGGGGCAAGCGUUGUCCGGACUUACUGGGCGUAAAGAGCGCGCAGGCGGUCGUUCAAGUCGCGUGUGAAAGCCCCCGGCUCAACUGGGGAGGGUCACGCGAUACUGAUCGACUGGAAGGCAGGAGAGGGUAGUGGAAUUCCCGGUGUAGUGGUGAAAUGCGUAGAUAUCGGGAGGAACACCAGUGGCGAAGGCGACUACCUGGCCUGUUCUUGACGCUGAGGCGCGAAAGCUAGGGGAGCAAACGGG